GAUGAACGCUGGCGGCGUGCUUAACACAUGCAAGUCGAACGAAGCAGCUUAACGGAACUCUUCGGAGGGAAGAUAAGUUGACUGAGUGGCGGACGGGUGAGUAACGCGUGGGUAACCUGCCUCACACAGGGGGAUAACAGUUGGAAACGGCUGCUAAUACCGCAUAAGCGCACAGUACCGCAUGGUACGGUGUGAAAAACUCCGGUGGUCUGGGAUGGACCCGCGUCCGAUUAGUUAGUUGGUGGGGUAACGGCCCACCAAGACUGCGAUCGGUAGCCGACCUGAGAGGGUGACCGGCCACAUUGGGACUGAGACACGGCCCAAACUCCUACGGGAGGCAGCAGUGGGGAAUAUUGCACAAUGGGGGAAACCCUGAUGCAGCGACGCCGCGUGAGUGAUGAAGUAUUUCGGUAUGUAAAACUCUAUCAGCAGGGAAGAUAAUGACGGUACCUGACUAAGAAGCACCGGCUAAAUACGUGCCAGCAGCCGCGGU
RNAcentral lists this ribosomal RNA (493 nucleotides) under uncultured bacterium. RNAcentral describes it as "bacterial SSU rRNA". It matches the Rfam family "Bacterial small subunit ribosomal RNA", at positions 28 to 521 of the family's 1533-position model. The record is from RNAcentral.